Molecule: ribosomal RNA, 767 nt
Filed under: uncultured bacterium
Lineage: Bacteria
Description: bacterial SSU rRNA
Rfam family: Bacterial small subunit ribosomal RNA
Source: RNAcentral
CCCAAUUGAUUGACGGUGCUUGCACCUGAUUGAUUUUGGCCGCCAACGAGUGGCGGACGGGUGAGUAACACGUAGGUAACCUGCCCAGAAGCGGGGGACAACAUUUGGAAACAGAUGCUAAUACCGCAUAACAACGUUGUUCGCAUGAACAACGCUUAAAAGAUGGCUUCUCGCUAUCACUUCUGGAUGGACCUGCGGUGCAUUAGCUUGUUGGUGGGGUAACGGCCUACCAAGGCGAUGAUGCAUAGCCGAGUUGAGAGACUGAUCGGCCACAAUGGGACUGAGACACGGCCCAUACUCCUACGGGAGGCAGCAGUAGGGAAUCUUCCACAAUGGGCGCAAGCCUGAUGGAGCAACACCGCGUGAGUGAAGAAGGGUUUCGGCCCGUAAAGCUCUGUUGUUAAAGAAGAACGCGUAUGAGAGUAACUGUUCAUACGUUGACGGUAUUUAACCAGAAAGUCACGGCUAACUACGUGCCAGCAGCCGCGGUAAUACGUAGGUGGCAAGCGUUAUCCGGAUUUAUUGGGUGUAAAGAGAGUGCAGGCGGUUUUCUAAGUCUGAUGUGAAAGCCUUCGGCUUAACCGGAGAAGUGCAUCGGAAACUGGAUAACUUGAGUGCAGAAGAGGGUAGUGGAACUCCAUGUGUAGCGGUGGAAUGCGUAGAUAUAUGGAAGAACACCAGUGGCGAAGGCGGCUACCUGGUCUGCAACUGACGCUGAGACUCGAAAGCAUGGGUAGCGAACAGGAUUAGAUACCCUGGUAGUCCAU